This 492-nucleotide ribosomal RNA is filed under the name uncultured bacterium. Its description in RNAcentral is "partial 16S ribosomal RNA". It matches the Rfam family "Bacterial small subunit ribosomal RNA", at positions 29 to 507 of the family's 1533-position model. The record is from RNAcentral.
AGUGAACGCUGGCGGUAGGCCUAACACAUGCAAGUCGAACGGCGGCACAGUAAGAGCUUGCUCUUACGGGUGGCGAGUGGCGGACGGGUGAGGAAUACAUCGGAAUCUACUUUUUCGUGGGGGAUAACGUAGGGAAACUUACGCUAAUACCGCAUACGACCUACGGGUGAAAGCAGGGGAUCUUCGGACCUUGCGCGAUUGGAUGAGCCGAUGUCGGAUUAGCUAGUUGGCGGGGUAAAGGCCCACCAAGGCGACGAUCCGUAGCUGGUCUGAGAGGAUGAUCAGCCACACUGGAACUGAGACACGGUCCAGACUCCUACGGGAGGCAGCAGUGGGGAAUAUUGGACAAUGGGCGCAAGCCUGAUCCAGCCAUACCGCGUGGGUGAAGAAGGCCUUCGGGUUGUAAAGCCCUUUUGUUGGGAAAGAAAAGCAGCAGGUUAAUACCCCGCUGUUCUGACGGUACCCAAAGAAUAAGCACCGGCUAACUUCGUG